Molecule: long non-coding RNA, 667 nt
Organism: Macadamia integrifolia
Lineage: Eukaryota; Viridiplantae; Streptophyta; Magnoliopsida; Proteales; Proteaceae
Exons: 5
Source: RefSeq, a predicted model, not a curated record
GACCCUAAUUUCGUUGGGGAAGAGAGGAAAAGAAAGAAGAAGAAGAAAAAGAAGACGAAGAAGACAAAGAAGAAGAAGAAGAAGUAGAAGAAGUAGAAGAAGAAGAGGAAGAAGAGAGGAAGGAGAAGAGGAGGAGCUGUACAUAGCUGCUGUCCUCCUAGUGCUGCUGCAUGUUGUUAUAUCCUACUGCUGCAUCUGCUGUCCAUGCUUAGAGCAAGCAAAUUGUGAGGUGCAUGAGCUGCCUAAGCUAAACUCCUACAUGCUUGCUGCUGUACCUGCAAAAAUAAGGAACCUAAGAUACUCGGCAAGGAUACGAGUGGACAGGAACUCAACAAAAAGGCAUCAGACUCGGGUAUCAAGGUUUUGAGGAUGGAUGGUAUAUUAGCUGUGUGGUGAUGGAUGUAAUAUUGACGGUCUGAGGCACAAUAUGGCUGAGGUUCUUUCUAGUACCAUGGGCUCAGAGGUGGUGGGACCGGUGCUGAGGCAGGAUUGGACUUCGGUGGCGAUUGUGAGAGAAUCAGGAGCAUUGUGCAUGCAACGAGUGCAGUGGAGUGAUUGGAGGAGAAUUUAAGUAGACUAAGGAUGUUUCAAUACUUGAUUAACUUCGAAACUUAACUACUUUAUUUAAUUUGGAACGGAUAUGGUUAUUUUAGGAUCCGCUAAUGGU